UGGAUUGAAACAGACUUUUCUUGCUUUUAUUGGGAUGUUUGUGUGGUAAACCACCUUGGGGUGUUGAAUGGUUACAUUAAAAGGCCUUAAAGAAGUCAAUAACCCAAAGGUGGGGAAGUGCUAGAGGUAUGACAGAAGGUUACCUUCUUUCAGGUAAAGUUGUGUGGAAAUGGGCAGAUCAACCCUUUUUCUUACACCCAGGAUUGUCAAGUGUGGCACUCCUUGAAUAUUGAAAUUUAAAAGAAAUAAACUACUUCAAGGACCACAGAGGGAAGCUGAAGAAAAUCUUCACUGGUGCAACUCAGAGGAAAUACUCUCAAGGCUGUGAAAUCUGCUUCUGCCUUGAAGUGGGUCGGGUGAAGAUCCCAGUUAGAGGGUGUAGGGAUCAGAUGGGAUUACCAUGAGGAAUUAUAAAAUAUACAUCAAGCCAUCGUGUCCACGAUGAAAGCAUUGUGUUGACUGGGUUUGAGAUAUUGACGAUAAUUUCUGAUUAAAUCCCAUAAGAUUCUACAUUCAUGCCCCUUUCAUGCCCUUUUGACUCUACUGCCCAUUUCUCUCUCCUCACGUCACGUACACAGCAGUUGCUUCGCCAGGCAGGCAUCCUGGGCCAUAAAGAUAGUGGGCAAGUUACUUUGGUGUAGUUUUCUUAUAUAUUUAUCUUAAGAUAUUAAUCUUGGAGCCAGGAAACAGAUCUCACAUGAAGGGGAUAGUGAUCUGGUCUUUCUGGCCAUCCUUCUUAUCAUGUUUAUUUCUUACCUCUGGGGUUGCCAGAUGCUCCCCUUUGUAGUUCUCAACUUAUUUACCCCAAAAUAUAUGCAUGCUAAUUAGUGUUGUAGUGUAACUUUUUCCCCACGUGGGGUUUGAUGAAAUGCUCAGAGGAAAUAUGAUUGGUUCUUAUGAGCACUGUGUAAAAGAUUCUUUUGCUAAUAAAAUGGCCUGGUGAGGGGUGUGGUUUACGCACUUUUCUCCGAGAGCCUCGUGUCUUGUUUUUUAAUCAGGGUCCAGUCCUUCCUUUGGCCACAGAACGCAACAAGAGGGCUGAUCCUUAAGAUCACAAAAGAGCAGGAUUAUUUACAGAGAAAUUGACAAACUACUCUCCCUGAGGA
Non-coding RNA from Podarcis lilfordi (Lilford's wall lizard), 1106 nucleotides. The record is from the annotation of a GenBank genome assembly. Lineage: Eukaryota; Metazoa; Chordata; Lepidosauria; Squamata; Lacertidae.